UCUGAGUCUUGCAGUUCUGGC
Molecule: non-coding RNA, 21 nt
Filed under: Arabidopsis thaliana (thale cress)
Lineage: Eukaryota; Viridiplantae; Streptophyta; Magnoliopsida; Brassicales; Brassicaceae
Source: RNAcentral